AUCCCUUUUCUUAGUUAUGGUGCCUAAACGCCAAAGAGGGAACAUGGUGUAAAUCCGUGACUACCCCCGUAACUGUAAGGGAAGAGCCCACUCCAUAAACCCACUGAAGUCUUUCGGGAAGGGGGAGAAAAAGGGUAAUGAGGCCCGAGUCAGGAGACCUGCCAUAACGAGUCACCAUCC
Molecule: non-coding RNA, 180 nt
Filed under: Alphaproteobacteria bacterium
Lineage: Bacteria; Pseudomonadati; Pseudomonadota; Alphaproteobacteria
Source: RNAcentral